This 303-nucleotide ribosomal RNA is filed under the name uncultured bacterium. RNAcentral describes it as "partial 16S ribosomal RNA". It matches the Rfam family "Bacterial small subunit ribosomal RNA", at positions 507 to 807 of the family's 1533-position model. The record is from RNAcentral.
AGCAGUAGCCGCGGGAAAACGGAGGGUGCGAGCGUUAAUCGGAAUUACUGGGCAUAAAGCGUACGCAGGCGGUUUGUUAAGUCAGAUGUGAAAUCCCCGAGCUUAACUCGGGAACUGCAUUUGAAACUGGCAAGCUAGAGUCUUGUAGAGGGGGGUAGAAUUCCAGGUGUAGCGGUGAAAUGCGUAGAGAUCUGGAGGAAUACCGGUGGCGAAGGCGGCCCCCUGGACAAAGACUGACGCUCAGGUGCGAAAGCGUGGGGAGCAAACAGGAUUAGAUACCCCGGUAGUCCCUGUCUCUUAUAC